UGAUCUUAGUUGCCAUCAUUAAGUUGGGCACUCUAAGGUGACUGCCGGUGACAAACCGGAGGAAGGUGGGGAUGACGUCAAAUCAUCAUGCCCCUUAUGACCUGGGCUACACACGUGCUACAAUGGACGGUACAAAGAGCUGCAAGACCGCGAGGUGGAGCUAAUCUCAUAAAACCGUUCUCAGUUCGGAUUGUAGGCUGCAACUCGCCUACAUGAAGCUGGAAUCGCUAGUAAUCGCG
Molecule: ribosomal RNA, 239 nt
Filed under: Brevibacterium aurantiacum
Lineage: Bacteria; Bacillati; Actinomycetota; Actinomycetes; Micrococcales; Brevibacteriaceae
Description: partial 16S ribosomal RNA
Rfam family: Bacterial small subunit ribosomal RNA
Source: RNAcentral